AAUAAUUUUUUCAGCACCUGUGAGAACUCAUUGCAUAUUAACAAACUCAAUAUAACUCAGAAAAUAAAGAUAAAAUGAAAUGUUAACAAUAAAUAUAUUAUAAUAUAUUCUGUUCCCAAGUCUAUCUGAGGUCUAUUCUACCCGCUGCUCUUUGAAAUUAAAAAUCUCGGCUGUGAAAAAAAAAAAACUCUUGAGAAUGCUGCAAAAGUUUCAAAACUAAAAUUCAUUAUUUGAGUUAUAAUAAUAAAGGUAUUUUCACUAGGGUGAAAGACAGGAAAACGUAUUUCAGAACCUUUUAAAGUUGGCCCGAGUUACGUUCGACACGACGAUGAGGACGUCGUAAUUGAUUACCGGGUAUGGUACUAUGAUAUAAUAAAUUUUAUGUCAAAAUGACAUUUGGGAUAUGACAUUUGGGAUAUUUUGAAUCUAUUGACUUUGUGGGUGUUCUAAAUUAAUCUCCAUUUGAUUACAAUCUAAGUUAUAUCUGCCAAACGUUGGCUGCAUUUUGCUGCAUUUUACUUGAACAGAAACAAAUAAUAAGACACCAAAAAAUGUGAAAGCGUUAGUUGAGUUUUAUAUUUAACAAAAGGUAAAGAAACAUAUUUACUUCGUUACGUUACGAAAUUACAAUACGAAUUCCUGUUUUCUGUAUUAUAUGUUUAUUGACUAAAAAACUGUUUGCAUUUAGCCCUUGGGUGUUGGUUUCGGUUGGCGAUUUCGUUCGCUGAAACCGUGGUUUGUUUUUCGUCUAAUUGGAAUUGAAGGUCUUCGCCACCGAGUGAGAGAAUACGUAAAAAUGGCAAAACUGUUUGAAUCUUUCGUCAAGACCGACGAUCGGUUUGAAGUUGUUUUCCCGGUGGAAUUGGGAGUCGUUUGUUUUCGAAUUGAUAAUUUACAAAUACGAUACAAAGAAAAGUAACAUGAUCAACAGACAACUGCUCAAACAUAUCAAUGAUUCAAAAGAUAUCUUCUUGAUUUCUUCAGAAGUUGAAGGAAUUUAUUUUCUUCGAGUAGCUACCGGUGUUACUGCGUGUAACGAAAAUGCCAUCAGAAAUUGCUGGAAUGCCAUUCUGAAACAUGCCACUUCAGUCUUGUCAACAUAGUUCGACAUUUAUAUGAAAGAAACGACUGCAUUUAUCAAAUAUAUAUUCAAGAAUUGUAGAAAUUCGCAUAUGUAGCAGG
Styela clava is the source of this 1182-nucleotide non-coding RNA. The record is from RefSeq and is a predicted model, not a curated record. NCBI's taxonomy places the organism in Eukaryota, Metazoa, Chordata, Ascidiacea, Stolidobranchia, Styelidae.